This 32-nucleotide non-coding RNA is filed under the name Rattus norvegicus (Norway rat). Lineage: Eukaryota; Metazoa; Chordata; Mammalia; Rodentia; Muridae. The record is from RNAcentral.
UGAGAAGGUGCCAAUGGUGCUGUUUUUACGUU